GAGUUUGAUUAUGGCUCAGGACGAACGCUGGCGGCGUGCUUAACACAUGCAAGUCGAACGAAAAGACGGAAAGAGCUUGCUCUUUUCAGAAUUGAGUGGCAAACGGGUGAGUAACACGUAAACAACCUGCCUUCAGGAUGGGGACAACAGACGGAAACGACUGCUAAUACCGAAUAAGUUCCAAGAGCCGCAUGGCCCAUGGAAGAAAAGGUGGCCUCUACCUGUAAGCUAUCGCCUGAAGAGGGGUUUGUGUCUGAUUAGCUGGUUGGAGGGGUAACGGCCCACCAAGGCGACGAUCAGUAGCCGGUCUGAGAGGAUGAACGGCCACACUGGAACUGAGACACGGUCCAGACUCCUACGGGAGGCAGCAGUGGGGAAUCUUCCGCAAUGGGCGAAAGCCUGACGGAGCAACGCCGCGUGAGUGAUGACGGCCUUCGGGUUGUAAAACUCUGUGAUCCGGGACGAAAAGGCAGAGUGCGAAGAACAAACUGCAUUGACG
Molecule: ribosomal RNA, 499 nt
Filed under: Dialister invisus
Lineage: Bacteria; Bacillati; Bacillota; Negativicutes; Veillonellales; Veillonellaceae
Description: bacterial SSU rRNA
Rfam family: Bacterial small subunit ribosomal RNA
Source: RNAcentral